RNAcentral lists this ribosomal RNA (422 nucleotides) under uncultured bacterium. RNAcentral describes it as "partial 16S ribosomal RNA". It matches the Rfam family "Bacterial small subunit ribosomal RNA", at positions 355 to 774 of the family's 1533-position model. The record is from RNAcentral.
UGGGGAAUAUUGGACAAUGGGCGAAAGCCUGAUCCAGCAAUUCCGCGUGUGUGAAGAAGGCCUUCGGGUUGUAAAGCACUUUAGUGGGGGAAGAAACAGCUUGGCCACACCAAGCCUUGACGGUACCCCAAGAAUAAGCACCGGCUAACUCUGUGCCAGCAGCCGCGGUAAUACAGAGGGUGCAAGCGUUAAUCGGAUUUACUGGGCGUAAAGGGUGCGUAGGUGGUCUUUUAAGUCGGAUGUGAAAGCCUGGGGCUCAACCUCAGAAUUGCAUUCGAUACUGGGAAACUAGAGUUCGGUAGAGGGCGGCGGAAUUUCCGGUGUAGCGGUGAAAUGCGUAGAUAUCGGAAGGAACAUCAAUGGCGAAGGCAGCCGCCUGGGCCUGGACUGACACUGAGGCACGAAAGCGUGGGUAGCAAACA